Molecule: non-coding RNA, 964 nt
Organism: Notechis scutatus (mainland tiger snake)
Lineage: Eukaryota; Metazoa; Chordata; Lepidosauria; Squamata; Elapidae
Source: RefSeq, a predicted model, not a curated record
ACCCCUCCCAGCCCCUCCGCCUUUCCUCCUCGUGGUGUGUUUCUCUCUCUCUCUCUCUCUCUCUGCCGACUUGUCUGACCUCUUCUUUCCUUCCUUGGGCCUUCCCUCUUCCGCCUCCACCCCUGCUUCGCUCCAGAUCAAUUGACGCUAUCCCCGACAACCAAAAAUAUAAGCAGUUGCAGAGGGAGCUCUCCCAGGUUCUGACCCAGCGCCAGAUGUACAUUCAGCCAGAUAACUAAAGCAGCCCAGGUCUGUGCAGACGUUUGCGGACAAAUCGAAGCAGGAAGCUCUGAAGAACGACCUGGUGGAGGCGUUGAAGAGAAAACAGCAAAGUUAGAAGCCGGCGUCUCCCCUUGAGGGUGCUAACAAGACACGCCAUGCACUCAUUAGCGCCCCCCCCCCCCCCCCCCCCCCAAAUUUCUUGGAAUCUUCUGUUUUUUCUCUCUCUCUCUCUCUCUCCUCGCUCCGUGGCAUCCUCCUCCCCAUUAUUUUCAUUUCCUGCAUACAAUAUUCUCUCCCCCCCCCCCCCAAAAAAAUAAAAAAAAAAAAGCCCUCCGUAUUCUCCCCCCCAUCGCCAUCCCAAAUAAACGUCUUUUGGGGGUGUGUAGGUGGGGGGGGGACUCUCUAGCCGCUUGAUUUCCACUGUCUUAUUGCCACAGCCUUGCAAAACGUCUUUUCUGUUGGGAAACCUCUGAGAUAAUUGUGCUCCUCCCGGCCUUUUUUCUCCUCCCUGCUCCUCCCACCCACCCCCCCACUUUUCUUCUGGGCCUUACGUUUAUCCGCCUAUUUCCACCGAUCAUGUUUGGGUUUUUUUUUUCUUUUAUUCUCGGUGCGCCCCCCCCCCCUCUCCGGUCUCCCACUGCUCUUUCCAUAUUUUGUUAUAUUGGUGUAAAAAAUGUACAAGAAACAAAAACAAAAAAAAACCCCUUUAUUAAAUAACCAUGGUUUGUGAAAGAAGGAAGAA